This 404-nucleotide unclassified non-coding RNA is filed under the name soil metagenome. Its description in RNAcentral is "partial contains 5.8S ribosomal RNA, internal transcribed spacer 2, and large subunit ribosomal RNA". The stretch from base 1 to 121 matches the Rfam family "5.8S ribosomal RNA", at positions 35 to 154 of the family's 154-position model. The record is from RNAcentral.
GAUGAAGAACGUAGUGAAAUGCGAUAAGAAAUGUGAAUUGCAGAAUUCAGUGAAUCAUCGAAUCUUUGAACGCACCUUGCGCCCUUUGGCUAUUCCGAAGGGCAUGCCUGUUUGAGUAUCAUGAACACCUCAACUCUCAUGGUUUGCCAUGAUGAGCUUGGACUUUGGGGGUCUUGCCGGCCUAUGGGUCGGCUCCUCUCAAAUUAAUCAGCUUGCCAGUGUUUGGUGGCAUCACAGGUGUGAUAACUAUCUACGCUUGUGGUUUUCCAUCAGGUAUCCUUCAGUGAUGGAGGUUCGCUGGGGCUCAUAAAUGUCUCUCCUCAGUGAGGACAGCUUUUUUGAACGUUUGAUCUCAAAUCAGGUAGGACUACCCGCUGAACUUAAGCAUAUCAAUAAGCGGAGGA